This 657-nucleotide long non-coding RNA is filed under the name Marmota monax (woodchuck). The record is from RNAcentral. Lineage: Eukaryota; Metazoa; Chordata; Mammalia; Rodentia; Sciuridae.
UUGAGCCACAUCCCCAGCCCCUUUCAUCUUCUUAAAGUGGAGUAAUUUGUCUAAAUCAGAAAUUUUAUAAGAGUUGUUUCAGAAUGUAAAUUUAUAAAAAGGGUUAACAGUUAAAAAAGAGAUAUAAAAAGAUUCAAGAUGUGGGAAUAUAUUUUAAUAUAAAAGGUUAAAGGAAAAAGAAAUGUUUUUAGAUGAGAUAAUCUCUGUGUGGUAAAGUAAAAAGUUGUAAAAUGCCAUUUAAAAAAUUUUGAGGAAACUAGACUUACUUUAAAAGCUUGAGAAAAGAAGAAAUAAAAAAAAGGUAUUUGUACAUGGCAGAUUGAGACAAAGUUUCUCAAUGGAGUUAAAAAAAAAAAAAGCCUUUGGUUGUAGGGCAGCCAUGUAAACUAACAUUGAAGCGAUUUAAACAAAAUCUAAGCCUCGUUUAAAAGAGUGAAGCUGUAGGUGGUGAAAAAGUACAUUUAAAAGUACAGUAUAGAUGAUAAUUGGAAGGCUUUAAAAGGUUAAAUUGAAGGUGGUCGAGAUACCUUCAUGGCGGAAAAAAGAUUGCUUUAUUGCAUCAUUCGAAGCCUAGUUAAUCUUAAAGGCAUUACUUAAAAAAUGGGAAGAUAAUAGGAUAAAAGAUAUUUAGAUAAAAAAGAUUAAAAAUUUGAAGUG